GCUCAUAACAUGUUUUAUGGGCCAAUACCGGAGGUUUUGUGUAGGCUACCAAAUGCUUAUAAUUUUACGCUUACUUUUAACUAUUUCACCCAAGUUGGCCCCCAGUGCAGAAGGCUGAUAAGGGCAAGGAGACUCAACGUGAACAGAAACUGCAUUAUGGGGCUUCCUAAUCAAAGACUUGCCGCUGACUGUGCCCGGUUUUUUGCAAGGCCUAGGAGUUGU
Molecule: unclassified non-coding RNA, 222 nt
Filed under: Hevea brasiliensis (rubber tree)
Lineage: Eukaryota; Viridiplantae; Streptophyta; Magnoliopsida; Malpighiales; Euphorbiaceae
Source: RNAcentral